This is a long non-coding RNA of Panicum virgatum (switchgrass), 645 nucleotides long. RefSeq lists it as uncharacterized. Lineage: Eukaryota; Viridiplantae; Streptophyta; Magnoliopsida; Poales; Poaceae. The transcript is spliced from 3 exons. The record is from RefSeq and is a predicted model, not a curated record.
AUUAAUUUAGGUGGGACUGCCACAUCAAUAAUAUUAGUUCCGGUAGGCAAUAAUAUCAGUUUCCAUAAGCAAUAAUAUUGCUCUACUUAGGCUUAACAAUACAAUUUCACAAGAAUUGUGUCUGCGGGUGUUUUAUAAACCGUAGCUUUAAUUUUGAUGUUUCUAUUUGGUAGCUUGCUGAGCCUCCUUUACCGUCAACACUAGGGAACACAUAUAUGUGAUCCUCAUGAUGGCGGUCCACCACCGGGGGAGAAUGCUGGUACAAUUGCACCCUUGAGGACAUAGCUGGGGAGGAAAAGAAGCGACUGCUCCCGGAAGACACCGGGACAAACAGUAGUGUGGUUUAGAAAAGCUCUAGCCGUUGAACCUAUCAAGGGCAAUCUACGGCUCAGUGGGUGCUCAGCUUGUGGUCAUGGUGGAGGUGUGUACAGCUCCCCCAUGUGUAUGUUGAAGUCCUCCAAAAGUGUGUUCAUAAGUUGGUUGAUGUACUUUUCUUUUCUACCUGCAAGUUUCUUCAACAGAUCAACACUAUAACAUGCUCUACAUCUGUAAGGCUGCUAACAUUUUUUUUUGUAUAUCCAGAGUUUAAUUAGAGUUUUCAAUUUUUGAUCCAUAGUGAAAUAAAGACUUUCCUUUUUUAUUACA